GUGACAAUUGUGUAAUAUACUUUCCAUUUCCAUUAAGGAAAAAAUAUGUAGAUGCCCUAUGAUUCACAUGAUACUUGAAUGGAAUUAUCAUAAACUAAGUUUAACUUUUCUUAAAGCAAAUAUAAGCCCUAAAUAAAUUGUAAAAUCAUACAGUGUCUGCAAUACCUUAUUUUAGUGACAAAAUUUGUAGCUAUCAGAUUAAGAACCAUCAAUAAUUUAAAAAUGAAACACUAUGAUUAUCUUAUUUUCUCCACCUAUAUCUUAGUUUCCUAAGCACAAGUAACUUUGAAUGUCAUUUUUCCUUGUCAAGUGGUUCUACAUAAUCAUGGAAUAUGUGCUGCUUUCCUUAGGCACAAUAAAGACAUUGCCCUGGUCAACCUGGCAAACGUUCUACACAGAGCACACUUCUCUGCUGAUGCUGCUGUUGUGGUCCAUGCAGCUCUGGAUGACAGUGACUUCUUCACCAGCUAUUAUACUUUGGGGAAUAUAUAUGCAAUGCUUGGGGAAUAUAACCACUCAGUGCUCUGUUAUGACCACGCUUUGCAGGCCAGACCUGGGUUUGAGCAAGCUAUAAAGAGGA
RNAcentral lists this small RNA (580 nucleotides) under Pongo abelii (Sumatran orangutan). Its description in RNAcentral is "retained intron". The record is from RNAcentral. Lineage: Eukaryota; Metazoa; Chordata; Mammalia; Primates; Hominidae.